The sequence is a transfer RNA, 91 nucleotides long. It matches the Rfam family "tRNA". Rfam says of the family: Transfer RNA (tRNA) molecules are approximately 80 nucleotides in length.
GCCGGGCUAGCUCAAUCGGUAGAGCGUGCGGCUCUUAGGAUCACAACUUCCAGUGACCGCAAGGUUGCGGGUUCGACCCCCGCGUUCGGCU